UCCAGCAUGGUGUAGUGGUUUGAGUGUUGGACUUUGACUCUGGAGAUCAGGGUUCGAUUCCUUACUUGGAC
Molecule: non-coding RNA, 71 nt
Organism: Phrynosoma platyrhinos (Desert horned lizard)
Lineage: Eukaryota; Metazoa; Chordata; Lepidosauria; Squamata; Phrynosomatidae
Source: the annotation of a GenBank genome assembly